Molecule: long non-coding RNA, 5329 nt
Filed under: Lynx pardinus (Iberian lynx)
Lineage: Eukaryota; Metazoa; Chordata; Mammalia; Carnivora; Felidae
Source: RNAcentral
CCCUCACUAGAUGUCGUUUGGGAUGAUGAUGAACCAAUGAACCUGGAUGUGAAUUCACCAAUAGCAUAACACUUGCCAAGAAAUUUUGCCAACAUUCCAGAAUGUAAGCUGCUGGGAUCUGAUAAAGAUGGAAUUAGUGAAAAUGUAAGCAGAUAUGUUUGUGUCUAAUCGAUGGGGAGUGAAGACUAGCUGGUUGAUGUUCAUGUUGGGAGGCCCUUAGGAAGCUUAAGCCUUGUUCUUUAGAAUCCUCAUGGCCUGGGGACUGUUUGGUCAAGGAAAGGAAACUGGCCAGAGACUCAAAUCAAAGGAGAGGAAGAAAUGGGCAUUGCUCUGGAGAUAGAAGUGUGUGCUGAGUUUCUGAAGAGACCUUCCUCCCCAGGAAACAGAAGUCAUGAAAAGGAACCGGAUUAUAGUUUUCUAUUAUGGGCACAAACAGAAGAGGAGAUAAAUCAUAUUUUUUAAAGACUCAGUAUCUCUAAGAUGUCAGUUCUCCCCAGAAUAAUCUACAGAUUCAAUGCAGUUUCAGUGAAAAUCCCAACAAGCUGAUUCUGAAACGUGUAUAGCCCAGGACUCUUAAGGAACAAAGUGGGGAGGCCUACCAAAGGGCACCACUGGCUACCAAAACUUAUAAAAGCUACAGACAUUAAGAUGACGUCGUAUUGGAUUAGGGAAAAACAAAAAGGAACAGGCCAGAAUAGAGAGCUCUGAAGCAGACUCGUACAUUUAUAGUUAUAAGACAGAGGUGGCCCUUCAGUUGAGCAAGGAAAGAUCUUGGGACAGUUGGGCAUUCACAAAGCAUACCUCACAUCACAUAUUAAACAUUACUUCACAUUUAAGACCAAAAUCCAUUUCACACUAAGUGCUAAGUGUUCAAAGUGAAACUGUACAGAUUUUAGAAAAAAAUAGGAAGAAUAUCUUUAAAACAAUUUUUUUAAUGUUUAUUUAUUUUUGAGAAAGAGAGAGAGACAGAGCGUGAGUGGUGUGUGUGUGUGGGGGGGGGGGGGCAGAAAGAGAGGAAGACACAGGACCCGAAGCGGGCUCCAGGCUCUGAGCUCCAGAGCCCAAUGUGGGGCUCGAACUCAUGAACCACAAGAUCAUGAUCUGAGUCACCGUCACUCAACCUGUUGAGCCACCCAGGUGCCCCAAAUAGAUAGAACAUGUUAAUGACCUUCAGUUAGCAAAGGAUUUCUUCAUCAAGAUAACAAGAUACAAAUCACAAUCCAUAAAGAUGGAUAUAUUUGACUCCAUUAAAAUUAAAAAUUUAUUUUCAUUAAAAGACAUCAAGAGGGGGCCCUGGCUGGCUCAGUCAGAGGAGUAUGCGGCUCUUGGUCUCAGGGUUGUGAGUUCAAGCCCCAUGUUGGGUGUAGAGAUUACAUAAAUAAAUAAAUAAAUAAAUCAAAGGAAUGAUAAAUACAAUGCAAGAAUGGUUUCCUGGGGGCAGAAAGGAUAUUGGGAGGGGGUAGAUGAGAUAGGGUGGGUGAGGGGCUCAAGGGCUCCAGUAAAGUUCUAUUAACUGGAAGGUAGGCACAGGGAUAUCUGGGUUUUGCCUUAUUUCGAAUUCUCUAAUUAUUUGUAUGCAUUAAAGUAACUAAGGGAAAAUUUUUAAAGAGUAUAAGUGGCAUUGAGAAAUGGGCUUGAAAUAUUUAAAUGAGGCAUAUUAUAAAAUAUGAGCCAAUGCUUACUAAAAAUUGCAUUUAUAUGCAAAGAUAAAAGAUGGGAAGCAAAGUUAUUUUAUAGUGCUUAUCUCUGGAUUAUAGGAUUACAGGUGAUUUUUCUUUUAAGUUUAUAUUUUUCAUACUUCCUAGAAUGAACAUUUUUGAGAUAAACAGAAAAGCAUAAGGUUUAUUACAUACAGAAAGAAAAAGGGUGUCUGAUAGGCGAAGUACAUAACUCAUAGCUGUUUAAUGCAUUGCCAUGCCGAGACGUGGAUGUAUUUUUAAAAGAAAUCAUUUUUAGCUCCAAGGCAUCACUUUGGGAUGGUGGAAGACCAGACUCCUGACAAGUGGGUCUGAAGCUGUAUUUUUGGACAGGUGUAGAUGGGUGAAUGUGAGGCCUUUUGGCCCUUAACCAUGAGUCGGUCUGCUGGUAGCUCGUAUAAUGGGGAAAGGAAAAUUGGGGUGCCUGGGUGGCUUAGUCGGUUAAGUGUCCAACUUUGGCUCAGGUCACGAUCUCGUGGUUUGUGAGUUCGAGCCCCCCGUCGGGCUCUGUGCUGACGGCUCAGAGCCUGGAUUCUGUGUCUCCUUCUCUCUCAGCCCCUCCCCUGCUCAUUCUCUGUCUCUCUCUGUCUCUCAAAAAUACAUAAAUAAAUAUUAAAAAAAAAUAAAUAAAUAUGGAAAGGAAAAGGUACUGCUAAUAGGAGAGUGACUUAACUCCUGCAGUUGGAUAACAGACCUCAAGGAGUAGUAGGUGUGUGUCCUGUGUCCUCUCUUACCCUCUGCAUUCUAAUUCAUUGCCUUAGAAUUUCCCCACUUACAAUGAAUAUCAAUAGAUAACUAACGGCUGAAAUGAGCCAUACUAACGUACACAAAGGUGGCUUGCGUUCACAGAAUGCGUUUCCUGAUCAGUAAGCCAACAUCAGGGUGUGAUAACACCUACGUAAAGGAAACAGAAUCCUGACACGGUGUCUAAUGACGGCUUUAAAAAGUAUCAAAUUUCAUAUAUUGUGGAUGUUGUGAAAUAUCCCCACAUCAUCUUACAAGACAGGGAAGAUCAAAGGAAAGGGCAAUCCAGAAAAAAGACCUGUUUCUCUCUCAUGCGUGAGAAAGAACACAUAAAAUGGAAGCUGUGGUUACCCCAGCGUAGCCCUUCGGAGAACCGAGGUAACCAUGGUAACGGUUUGGGACAGGCCUUUUUGUUGGAAAGAUUCAAAUUCUAGAACUGUUGGUUGGAUUUGCACAAAGUCCCAUGAGGGAGAGCUGGUGAACUUCAAGUGUGGAGUGGCUCACUCUCUGGGGAGAUAGCAACCUUUUCGUAAAAGAUCCUGGUUCCUAAUUGCCCAUGAGAAGAGCUAGCCCUAUGUAGCAGUCAAAAAUCCCUUAUGUCUAGCAAACUUGCCUUCCUUAAAGUUAUGGUAUUUGGGGAAAAAAACAUUUGGGGAAUACUGGAGAGAUUGAGCUGGAACACCAAAAUUUUCCUCAUAGAUACACACAUUUUAAGAGCAACAAAAUAGAUAAUAUUGUCGAUAAAAGCAAUCAUUAAAAUGUCAAGGAAGGGCCUACUUAGGAUUUAAAAUUCCCAUGAUGCUCUAAUGAAGGCAGUGCUUAUUUCUACCUGGAAAAAUGGAAUAAAAAAGUAUAUACAUAUCAUUAUGAAAAUUCCUCACCUUUCUUGCAGUUUCUUGAGUUUCUCAGAGUCUGCCUUUAUCUUAUUGGCUUCCUUUUCAUCUGUGAAAGCAGAGGCUGCCAUUCUGUUCCCGUUAUCACUUUGAUUUGGGAAAUUAGAGACCGCGAAGAAAGUAAAAGGCAUAUUUUCUUGCAGGGACCCAGGCACGUGCAAAUGGCCUUGUAAGUUCAUUCUUGAUGGUGAGGAGCUAGAAGACUCCCCCAAGGACAAGUUGCUUUGAGGAUUUAGUAAGAGCUCUUCCGUAUAUUCUAGAGCCCCCUGGGAUGGGUUCGUUAAAGGAAUAUCUUCUGCUCCCCUGACAUCAAAUUCAUGUGCACUAUUUACUGGAAAAUAACCGCGGUUCUCAGCACUGGCGAGUGGAUUCCUAUUUCUAAUAGGGGACAAUGGUCGGCGAACAUUAAACCUUGAAUUUCCCUCUGAGUCUGAACUGUGAAUAAAUGUAGACGACAUCGACAAGUCUACUGGAAUAUCAUCUCUCAUGGCAGAAUGCAUUAAUGAUCCAGGAGUGUUAUAAGAUAAACUCACUGGUGAUCUUGGAGCUGUUGGUCUACCAGAGAGAAAACAGUCAAGAGAAUUACUAGAACUGCUUAAGUAGGCAUGCCAGUCUCUUUCAUAAUCACGGAUACCAGGCCUGUCUUCUGUGGAGGUACAGUCUCUAAAUCCAUUUUCAGCACUGAGGUCAUCAUCUAGACUAGCUGUGGAUUUGGUGUCCCAUGAAGGAAAGGUGCUUUUCUCAUGUUCACUGUCACCACUGUCAUUCUCGUUAGGAGACCCUCCACCAGGUGGCUUGAGGUCUUGAGACACCCUUGCCCCCACAGGAAGCUGUUCUGUCACUGGUUCCAUUGCAUUGCUCAUUCUUAAUGAGCCACGACUGGACUCAGUUCUUCUUACCGAAUUUGCUCUGCAAUUUUCAGGACUGUCUUCAAAAUUUUUACUUUUGGCCUGAGUGGCCCACGUCCCAAGAAAUCGACUUCUCUUAUGACUGGGAGGAGAACGAGGCCGGUGCAUACCAACCAACAAAAGUUCUUCCUCUAUGAGGGUCUCCUCCUCAGUGUCAUCAUUUUCUCCUCCAGGGUUUAAUGAUAAAAUGGAAUAAAAAUCUUCAUCUCUGAACCUAAAUGGUGCCCUUCUUGACCCUCCCAUGGUGGUGGUUAGGAGUGGGGGCCCCAAGGACUCACUCGACACUUGAGGGCUGUUUGUUCCUAGGAAGGCCUGAGAUAGGCCUGAAUGUGGCUCAUUCUGAGAAAGAACACUUGAGUCUCCUUUUUUGGCUCUCUCAGAGGUAUUCUCAGUCAUAGUCAUUAGCUGUGAAGAUGGGACUAAGUGUCUUCUCUCUUGAGUUGGCCUCUUCAGCUUGGUGCCACUGGCCCACACUGGGCCCUCUUGUUGAACUAUUGGAUCUGCAUGGAGAAAAGACAAGUUUAUCAUUCUUCUAUAGGUGCUCAUGGAUGAAAGAGCUCGAACACUAAGAGAGUCCCUCAAGGAAACAAGCAAGCCUAGAGAAGGAAAUCUGCACGCUUUAAAACGGCUGGAGGUACAGAAGCAGGACAGUAGAGGUAGCUUCAUUUUCUGCUUCUGGAGUCUUCUUUGUACAUUUUGUGGAGCUCGGGCUGGUUCUGGGGCGACAGGGUGACCCUGAGUAUACAGGUCUUUUUUUUUGUGGAAGCUUUGGGAAGACUGUCCAGCCCAGGUCAGUCAGGGCCGAUUAUGGGGAAAUCUCUCAAAUGCUGGUUUUCAAAACAGUGUUUGUGGAUAAGGAAAACCAGCAGUCCAGGAAUGGCUUCUACAAAAACCACCAGUGCCUUUUCAUCUGGAUUCAUUCAACACGCAUUUAUGACACUCCUGCACCACACACAGCUUUAAAAAAUCUUAAGAAAAUAUAAUCUACCUGGGCAGAUUGGGAGGAAGGCUCUAGAAGCUGGUGUCCAGUUACCCUGAUGACUUGGGUUACAUUUAGUGCUUAGUGCAAUAAAAAUUAUAACUCUCU